RNAcentral lists this ribosomal RNA (468 nucleotides) under uncultured bacterium. RNAcentral describes it as "partial 16S ribosomal RNA". It matches the Rfam family "Bacterial small subunit ribosomal RNA", at positions 28 to 507 of the family's 1533-position model. The record is from RNAcentral.
GGCGAACGCUGGCGGCGUGCUUAACACAUGCAAGUCGAACGGAAAGGCCCUGCUUUUGUGGGGUGCUCGAGUGGCGAACGGGUGAGUAACACGUGAGUAACCUGCCCUUGACUUUGGGAUAACUUCAGGAAACUGGGGCUAAUACCGGAUAGGAGCUCCUGCUGCAUGGUGGGGGUUGGAAAGUUUCGGCGGUUGGGGAUGGACUCGCGGCUUAUCAGCUUGUUGGUGGGGUAGUGGCUUACCAAGGCUUUGACGGGUAGCCGGCCUGAGGGGGUGACCGGCCACAUUGGGACUGAGAUACGGCCCAGACUCCUACGGGAGGCAGCAGUGGGGAAUAUUGCACAAUGGGCGGAAGCCUGAUGCAGCAACGCCGCGUGCGGGAUGACGGCCUUCGGGUUGUAAACCGCUUUCGCCUGUGACGAAGCGUGAGUGACGGUAAUGGGUAAAGAAGCACCGGCUAACUACGUG